This 1530-nucleotide ribosomal RNA is filed under the name Escherichia coli. RNAcentral's name for it is "bacterial SSU rRNA". It matches the Rfam family "Bacterial small subunit ribosomal RNA". The record is from RNAcentral. Lineage: Bacteria; Pseudomonadati; Pseudomonadota; Gammaproteobacteria; Enterobacterales; Enterobacteriaceae.
AGAGUUUGAUCAUGGCUCAGAUUGAACGCUGGCGGCAGGCCUAACACAUGCAAGUCGAACGGUAACAGGAAGAAGCUUGCUUCUUUGCUGACGAGUGGCGGACGGGUGAGUAAUGUCUGGGAAACUGCCUGAUGGAGGGGGAUAACUACUGGAAACGGUAGCUAAUACCGCAUAACGUCGCAAGACCAAAGAGGGGGACCUUCGGGCCUCUUGCCAUCGGAUGUGCCCAGAUGGGAUUAGCUUGUUGGUGGGGUAACGGCUCACCAAGGCGACGAUCCCUAGCUGGUCUGAGAGGAUGACCAGCCACACUGGAACUGAGACACGGUCCAGACUCCUACGGGAGGCAGCAGUGGGGAAUAUUGCACAAUGGGCGCAAGCCUGAUGCAGCCAUGCCGCGUGUAUGAAGAAGGCCUUCGGGUUGUAAAGUACUUUCAGCGGGGAGGAAGGGAGUAAAGUUAAUACCUUUGCUCAUUGACGUUACCCGCAGAAGAAGCACCGGCUAACUCCGUGCCAGCAGCCGCGGUAAUACGGAGGGUGCAAGCGUUAAUCGGAAUUACUGGGCGUAAAGCGCACGCAGGCGGUUUGUUAAGUCAGAUGUGAAAUCCCCGGGCUCAACCUGGGAACUGCAUCUGAUACUGGCAAGCUUGAGUCUCGUAGAGGGGGGUAGAAUUCCAGGUGUAGCGGUGAAAUGCGUAGAGAUCUGGAGGAAUACCGGUGGCGAAGGCGGCCCCCUGGACGAAGACUGACGCUCAGGUGCGAAAGCGUGGGGAGCAAACAGGAUUAGAUACCCUGGUAGUCCACGCCGUAAACGAUGUCGACUUGGAGGUUGUGCCCUUGAGGCGUGGCUUCCGGAGCUAACGCGUUAAGUCGACCGCCUGGGGAGUACGGCCGCAAGGUUAAAACUCAAAUGAAUUGACGGGGGCCCGCACAAGCGGUGGAGCAUGUGGUUUAAUUCGAUGCAACGCGAAGAACCUUACCUGGUCUUGACAUCCACGGAAGUUUUCAGAGAUGAGAAUGUGCCUUCGGGAAUCGUGAGACAGGUGCUGCAUGGCUGUCGUCAGCUCGUGUUGUGAAAUGUUGGGUUAAGUCCCGCAACGAGCGCAACCCUUAUCCUUUGUUGCCAGCGGUCCGGCCGGGAACUCAAAGGAGACUGCCAGUGAUAAACUGGAGGAAGGUGGGGAUGACGUCAAGUCAUCAUGGCCCUUACGACCAGGGCUACACACGUGCUACAAUGGCGCAUACAAAGAGAAGCGACCUCGCGAGAGCAAGCGGACCUCAUAAAGUGCGUCGUAGUCCGGAUUGGAGUCUGCAACUCGACUCCAUGAAGUCGGAAUCGCUAGUAAUCGUGGAUCAGAAUGCCACGGUGAAUACGUUCCCGGGCCUUGUACACACCGCCCGUCACACCAUGGGAGUGGGUUGCAAAAGAAGUAGGUAGCUUAACCUUCGGGAGGGCGCUUACCACUUUGUGAUUCAUGACUGGGGUGAAGUCGUAACAAGGUAACCGUAGGGGAACCUGCGGUUGGAUCACCU